This 1119-nucleotide long non-coding RNA is filed under the name Anas zonorhyncha (Eastern spot-billed duck). Its description in RNAcentral is "lncRNA (ENSAZOG00000017311.1)". Lineage: Eukaryota; Metazoa; Chordata; Aves; Anseriformes; Anatidae. The record is from RNAcentral.
AACCGUGUCCUCUUCUUCGUCCCCAGGUUCUCUUCGGUGCGCAGUCCCCCCGCCCGCCAUCCCCGGAGCCCCCCCGGCCUCCCCGUUCUCCUUGGGGCCCCCCCCCGGACCUGGGCCGCCUCCUGCGUUCCCUCAGCGCCCCGAGCGGCCGCCCGGUGCCCCCCCCGCCCGGUUUCCCCCCCCGGCACCACGGAGCCCCCCCGGGCUUGAACCGCCCGGCCGGGGGGGCCAGCCUGGAGCUGCUGCUGGCGGCCUUGACCUUGACCUCGGACCUGGAGCCCGCGGGGGGGGCUCUGCCCCCGUUAUCGGCACCGCCGUCCCCGUUGGCGUCACCGCUGACCCCCGGGGGACCCUCGCCGCCGCUCUCACUUCACCGCCUGCCUUCCUCCUCCUCCUCCUCCUCCUCGCCACCGACACCGCUGCUCGCCCCCCCGGAGGCUUCCCUGUCGCCCCCCGCUUCGCCGCCGUCACCGCUCUACAAGACGGAGCUGUGCCGCCCCUUCUCCGCCACCGGCCGCUGCCGUUACGGCUCCCGCUGCCAAUUCGCCCACGGCCCCGGGGAGCUGCGGGGGCUCCGGCGCCACCCCAAGUACCGCACGCAGCCCUGCAGCACCUUCCUGCGCUGCGGCUCCUGCCCCUACGGCCCCCGCUGCCACUUCCUCCACGGACCCCCGGCCCCGCUGCUGCUGCCCGAUGGGGGGGGGACGGCCGCUGGGCCCCCCCCCGGCAGCCCCCGCCGCCUCCCGGUGUUCGACCGCAUCUCGGUGGCGGAGUGAAACCCCCUAUGAAAAGGGGGGGGGCGCCCCCACCCCCUGCUCUUUUAUGGGGGGGCGCCCCCACCCCAUGAUUUUCUAUGGGGGGGGUGGCACCGCUAUGAAGCCCCCCCCCUGCACCCUUUGUGCCUCUCAGGUGAAGGGGGAGCCCCCUUUUCAGCCCCCCCUCGAUUUAUGGCUUUAUUUAUUUAUAGUCGGUGCCUUGGGGCUGCCCCCAGCCCUGUUGGGGGGUUUUGGGGUAUUUAUGGGAUUUGUAUUUUUUUUGGGGGGAGGGGGGCGGGGGGAGUUUUUUAGGGUAUUUAUGGGGUUUUUAGGGUUUUUUGUGUGUAGGGGGGGUGGUAAAUAA